UACUCGCUGGGCUUUUAAAAGGGCGCUCGCGUGCGCCACCUGCUGCACGGACAGCGGUGAGGGCGCGAGCCAGAUCACCCAAAUCUCACACUCGUCGCAACCUGCUCAAUAUACAUACACUCUGCCUGCACGUAUUUUAGGAACACCUGUACACACUCGUGCAGGUGUCCAUCAUGUGGCCUCAGUGCAGUGCAUAAACAUAAUGGAGAUCAGAUACGGGUCACGAGCUUAACGUUCAUCUUAAAGAUGAAAAAAUGUGAACUCAUUCAUUCGGACUGUGGCAUGAUUGUUAGUGCCAACCCGGCUGGAUCGAGAAAUUUGAGUAACUGCUGAUCUGAGAUUUUCACAUCCAACUGUCUCUAGAGUUUACAUAGAUUGGUGAAGAAAAACAAACUAGUGAGCAUCAGUUCUGCAGGCAGAAACACUGUUGGUGAGAGAGGUCAAUGGAAAUUGGCCAGACAUUUUUUUUUCCACCUACAGGUGAAGCAGGCCCAGGUGCGACAGCGGAAAGCCACGUUGGAAUCGUCACGGACUGACGCUCACCUGUCCCAGGUAAAUUCGCGGCAUGAAACAAAUCAGAGAUCCUGGAGAACGACUUCAGGAGCCUGGUUGAGAAGGUACGCAGAACAUCACCCAUGACGAGGAUCACUGUGUAAGGACCACUGCCCACGUUCCAGUGAGGAAUCGAGAGGUUCAGUAGGCUAUUUGCUUUUAAUGAAUGGUUACAGUCAUAGUGUGAAGAUCAGAAAUUACCCUUUGUUGAUAACUGGAAUGUUUUUUGGGAGCAUCCUAGGCUCUACCAUACUAAUGGCCUGCACCCUAGCAGAGUUGGAGCAGCAGUCCUCUCGCACAACAUUUCCAGGACACUACGCACCAUCUGACUGAUAUAUGCAGAAUUCUACAGAGUUACUGGAGUUGAUCUCAGGCAGAUCUUUCUUAGUUACUUGGACUCACUUGCACCACGAUUGAUAAAGCUCUAUAGAUCAAGAAGUGGAGCCUUGGGAGGAGAAACUCAAAUACUCCUAGACAGACUUGAUGAACGGACCACUGCUAUCCUGACACACAGGAUAAUCACACGCAAAUCUGCAGCACUUUGUGGCCUUCCCUUGUUUCUGAGAGAAAAGGAGGGCAAUCUACUGAGAACGUAUCUGGUAAUAUUUUUUAUCUUAUCCGUCAUGUCUAACAUGGCUGGCCU
Hemibagrus wyckioides is the source of this 1195-nucleotide long non-coding RNA. RefSeq lists it as uncharacterized. The transcript is spliced from 3 exons. The record is from RefSeq and is a predicted model, not a curated record. Lineage: Eukaryota; Metazoa; Chordata; Actinopteri; Siluriformes; Bagridae.